ACACUGGUACUGAGACACGGACCAGACUCCUACGGGAGGCAGCAGUGAGGAAUAUUGCACAAUGGGGGAAACCCUGAUGCAGCAACGCCGCGUGGAGGAUGACGCAUUUCGGUAUGUAAACUCCUUUUACGAGUCAAGAAAAUGACGGUAGCUCGUGAAUAAGCACCGGCUAACUCCGUGCCAGCAGCCGCGGUAAUACGGAGGGUGCAAGCGUUACUCGGAAUCACUGGGCGUAAAGGACACGUAGGCGGGAUGCCAAGUCUGAUGUGAAAUCCUAUGGCUUAACCAUAGAACUGCAUUGGAAACUGGUAACCUAGAGUAUGGGAGGGGGAGAUGGAAUUAGUGGUGUAGGGGUAAAAUCCGUAGAUAUCACUAGGAAUACCGAAAGCGAAGGCGAUCUCCUGGAACAAUACUGACGCUAAGGUGUGAAAGCGUGGGGAGCAAACGGGAUUAGAUACCCCGGUAGUCCACGCCCUAAACGAUGAACACUAGUCAUCGGAAUGCUAGUCAUUUCGGUGAUGCACUUAACAGAUUAAGUGUUCCGCCUGGGGAGUACGGUCGCAAGAUUAAAACUCAAAGGAAUAGACGGGGACCCGCACAAGUGGUGGAGCAUGUGGUUUAAUUCGAAGAUACGCGAAGAACCUUACCUAGCCUUGACAUUGAUAGAACACACUAGAGAUAGAGUGGUGCCCUUCGGGGAACUUGAAAACAGGUGCUGCACGGCUGUCGUCAGCUCGUGUCGUGAGAUGUUGGGUUAAGUCCCGCAACGAGCGCAACCCUCGUCCUUAGUUGCCAGCAGGUUAAGCUGGGCACUCUAAGGAGACUGCCUUCGCAAGGAGGAGGAAGGUGAGGACGACGUCAAGUCAUCAUGGCCCUUAUGGCUAGGGCUACACACGUGCUACAAUGGGGCGUACAGAGAGUUGCGAUACCGCGAGGUGGAGCCAAUCUCAUAAAGCGUCUCUCAGUUCGGAUUGGAGUCUGCAACUCGACUCCAUGAAGCUGGAAUCACUAGUAAUCGUAGAUCAGCAAUGCUACGGUGAAUACGUUCCCGGGUCUUGUACUCACCGCCCGUCACACCAUGGGAGUUGAUUUCACCCGAAAUUGGGAA
This 1108-nucleotide ribosomal RNA is filed under the name uncultured bacterium. RNAcentral's name for it is "bacterial SSU rRNA". It matches the Rfam family "Bacterial small subunit ribosomal RNA", at positions 310 to 1433 of the family's 1533-position model. The record is from RNAcentral.